CUACGUGCCAGCAGCCGCGGUAAUACGUAGGUGGCAAGCGUUGUCCGGAAUUAUUGGGCGUAAAGCGCGCGCAGGCGGAUCAGUCAGUCUGUCUUAAAAGUUCGGGGCUUAACCCCGUGAUGGGAUGGAAACUGCUGAUCUAGAGUAUCGGAGAGGAAAGUGGAAUUCCUAGUGUAGCGGUGAAAUGCGUAGAUAUUAGGAAGAACACCAGUGGCGAAGGCGACUUUCUGGACGAAAACUGACGCUGAGGCGCGAAAGCCAGGGGAGCAAACAGGAUUAGAUACCCUGGUAGUCCACGCUGUAAACGAUGUCGAUUUGGGGGUUGAGCUUUAAGUUUGGCGCCCGUAGCUAACGUGAUAAAUCGACCGCCUGGGGAGUACGGCCGCAAGGUUAAAACUCAAAUGAAUUGACGGGGGCCCGCACAAGCGGUGGAGCAUGUGGUUUAAUUCGAUGCAACGCGAAGAACCUUACCUACUCUUGACAUCCAGA
RNAcentral lists this ribosomal RNA (489 nucleotides) under uncultured bacterium. RNAcentral describes it as "bacterial SSU rRNA". It matches the Rfam family "Bacterial small subunit ribosomal RNA", at positions 501 to 992 of the family's 1533-position model. The record is from RNAcentral.